RNAcentral lists this ribosomal RNA (119 nucleotides) under Oncorhynchus mykiss (rainbow trout). Lineage: Eukaryota; Metazoa; Chordata; Actinopteri; Salmoniformes; Salmonidae. The record is from RNAcentral.
GCUUACGGCCACACCGGCCUGAGUACGCCUGAUCUCGUCCGAUCUCGGAAGCUAAGCAGGGUCGGGCCUGGUUAGUACUUGGAUGGGAGACCGCCUGGGAAUUCCAGGUGCUGUAAGCU